GAUGAAGAACGUAGCGAAAUGCGAUAAGUAGUGUGAAUUGCAGACUUUAGUGAAUCAUCGAAUCUUUGAACGCACAUUGCGCCCUUUGGUAUUCCUUAGGGCAUGCCUGUUCGAGCGUCAUUUAAACCUUCAAGCUAAGCUUGGUGUUGGGUGACUGUCCGCUUCACUGCGGACUCGCCUCAAAAUUAUUGGCGGCCGGUACAUUGGCUUCGAGCGCAGCAGAAACGCGAACUCGGGCCCGUCGUAUUGGCUCCCAGAAGCUAUCUUCACAAUUUUGACCUCGGAUCAGGUAGGGAUACCCGCUGAACUUAAGCAUAUCAAUAAGCGGAGGA
This 332-nucleotide unclassified non-coding RNA is filed under the name soil metagenome. Its description in RNAcentral is "partial contains 5.8S ribosomal RNA, internal transcribed spacer 2, and large subunit ribosomal RNA". The stretch from base 1 to 120 matches the Rfam family "5.8S ribosomal RNA", at positions 35 to 154 of the family's 154-position model. The record is from RNAcentral.